This 398-nucleotide ribosomal RNA is filed under the name uncultured bacterium. RNAcentral's name for it is "bacterial SSU rRNA". It matches the Rfam family "Bacterial small subunit ribosomal RNA", at positions 362 to 777 of the family's 1533-position model. The record is from RNAcentral.
UAUUGGACAAUGGGCGCAAGCCUGAUCCAGCCAUGCCGCGUGAGUGAUGAAGGCCUUAGGGUUGUAAAGCUCUUUCAGUGGGGACGAUAAUGACGGUACCCACAGAUGAAGCCCCGGCUAACUUCGUGCCAGCAGCCGCGGUAAUACGAAGGGGGCUAGCGUUGUUCGGAUUUACUGGGCGUAAAGCGCACGUAGGCGGAUCGUUAAGUCGGGGGUGAAAUCCUGGAGCUCAACUCCAGAACUGCCUUCGAUACUGGCGAUCUUGAGUCCGGAAGAGGUGAGUGGAACUCCUAGUGUAGAGGUGGAAUUCGUAGAUAUUAGGAAGAACACCAGUGGCGAAGGCGGCUCACUGGUCCGGUACCGACGCUGAGGUGCGAAAGCGUGGGGAGCAAACAGGA